Molecule: ribosomal RNA, 253 nt
Filed under: uncultured bacterium
Lineage: Bacteria
Description: partial 16S ribosomal RNA
Rfam family: Bacterial small subunit ribosomal RNA
Source: RNAcentral
UACGAAGGGGGCUAGCGUUGCUCGGAAUUACUGGGCGUAAAGGGCGCGUAGGUGGCACUGUUAGUCAGGCGUGAAAGUCCUGGGCUCAACCUGGGAACUGCGCUUGAUACGGCAGAGCUAGAGGAUGGAAGAGGCUCGCGGAAUUCCCAGUGUAGAGGUGAAAUUCGUAGAUAUUGGGAAGAACACCGGUGGCGAAGGCGGCGAGCUGGUCCAUUACUGACGCUGAGGCGCGACAGCGUGGGGAGCAAACAGG